GAGGAUUCCUGGUCUCGGCCCUGCUGCGCUGAGGGCCCGAAAAUCACUUUGUUUUACAAAGGCAAGUUUUAAUCAGAUAUAAGGGAACCUUUUCUCUUAGAUGACCUAUGACAGCAAUUUGCCUGGAAACUUAAACUUUUGAACCUUCCAGCCCUGCAUCAAUGCCUGGACAUACACCAGAUCCCCAGAUAGCCUUCUGAUUACCUCCUGGAGGAUUCCCAUAUCCAGACCACCUGGCACCCAUCACCCAGACCAACUGAUCUAGCUGAUACCCGACCUGGCCAAACCUACGGCUAAGAAUGCAGGACUGAUUGUUCUCAAGAAUAUACUUUUUACUAUGAGAAUUCUUAACUUUUUUGUCUUCUUUGAAACACUUCUGGAUUUUUGCCUUCCUGUGUUCCCAUUUGCAAACUCUAAGACUCUUGAA
Molecule: non-coding RNA, 427 nt
Organism: Miniopterus natalensis
Lineage: Eukaryota; Metazoa; Chordata; Mammalia; Chiroptera; Miniopteridae
Source: RefSeq, a predicted model, not a curated record